CAGUAGCCGCGGUAAUACGAAGGGUGCAAGCGUUACUCGGAAUUACUGGGCGUAAAGCGUGCGUAGGUGGUGGUUUAAGUCCGUUGUGAAAGCCCUGGGCUCAACCUGGGAAUUGCAGUGGAUACUGGGUCACUAGAGUGUGGUAGAGGAUAGUGGAAUUUCCGGUGUAGCAGUGAAAUGCGUAGAGAUCGGAAGGAACAUCUGUGGCGAAGGCGACUAUCUGGGCCAACACUGACACUGAGGCACGAAAGCGUGGGGAGCAAUCAGGCUUAGAUACCCCGGUAGUCCCUGUCUCUUAUAC
RNAcentral lists this ribosomal RNA (301 nucleotides) under uncultured bacterium. RNAcentral's name for it is "partial 16S ribosomal RNA". It matches the Rfam family "Bacterial small subunit ribosomal RNA", at positions 509 to 807 of the family's 1533-position model. The record is from RNAcentral.